GCUUGUCUCAAAGAUUAAGCCAUGCAUGUCUUAGUGUAAAUAACUCUUAUGAAACUGCGAAUGGCUCAUUAAAUCAGUUAUCAAAUACGUGAUGGUCGCCUACUACAUGGAUAACCGUAGUAAUUCUAGAGCUAAUACAUGCGUCAAGUCCCAACCGCAAGGAAGGGAUGUAUUUAUUAGAUACAAAACCAAUGGGUGGCAACACUCUCACUGGUGACUCAUAGUAACUUCACGAAUCGCAUGGCUUCGGCCGGCGAUAGUUCAUUCAAAUUUCUGCCCUAUCAGCUUUCGACGGUAGUGUAGUGGACUACCGUGGCGUUAACGGGUGACGGAGAAUUAGGGUUCGAUUCCGGAGAGGGAGCCUGAGAAACGGCUACCACAUCCAAGGAAGGCAGCAGG
Molecule: ribosomal RNA, 399 nt
Filed under: uncultured cercomonad
Lineage: Eukaryota; Cercozoa; Cercomonadida; Cercomonadidae
Description: partial small subunit ribosomal RNA
Rfam family: Eukaryotic small subunit ribosomal RNA
Source: RNAcentral